RNAcentral lists this ribosomal RNA (433 nucleotides) under uncultured bacterium. RNAcentral describes it as "partial 16S ribosomal RNA". It matches the Rfam family "Bacterial small subunit ribosomal RNA", at positions 29 to 507 of the family's 1533-position model. The record is from RNAcentral.
AACGAACGCUGGCGGCAUGCCUAACACAUGCAAGUCGAACGAGACCUUCGGGUCUAGUGGCGCACGGGUGCGUAACGCGUGGGAACCUGCACUUAGGUUCGGAAUAACUCCCCGACAGGGGUGCUAAUACCGGAUAAUGUCUUCGGCCCAAAGAUUUAUCGACUUUGGUUGGGCCCGCGUUGGAUUCGCUAGUUGGUAGGGUAAAAGCCUACCAAGGGGACGAUCCAUAGCUGGUCUGAGAGGAUGAUCAGCCACACUGGGACUGAGACACGGCCCAGACUCCUACGGGAGGCAGCAGUGGGGAAUAUUGGACAAUGGGCGAAAGCCUGAUCCAGCAAUGCCGCGUGAGUGAUGAAGGCCGUAGGGUUGUAAAGCGCUUUUACCCGGGAUGAUAAUGACAGUACCGGGAGAAUAAGCUCCGGCUAACUCCGUG